This 253-nucleotide ribosomal RNA is filed under the name uncultured bacterium. RNAcentral's name for it is "partial 16S ribosomal RNA". It matches the Rfam family "Bacterial small subunit ribosomal RNA", at positions 524 to 776 of the family's 1533-position model. The record is from RNAcentral.
UACGGGGGGGGCAAGCGUUGUUCGGAAUUACUGGGCUUAAAGCGUGUGUAGGCGGAUGCCUAAGUACCUUGUGAAAUCCCACGGCUCACCCGUGGAACUGCUUGGUAUACUGGGUGUCUUGAGCCACUUAGGGGCUACCGGAACAAAUGGUGGAGCGGUGAAAUGCGUAGAUAUCAUUUGGAACGCCAAUGGUGAAAACAGGUAGCUGGGAGUGUGCUGACGCUGAGACACGAAAGCCAGGGGAGCAAACGGG